GGAGUCGGCCAGACAGUCGCCGCCGGCAUUGCCGGGGGAGGAAAGUCCGGGCUCCAUAGGGCAAGGUGCCAGGUAACGCCUGGGCGGCGCAAGCCGACGGCUAGUGCAGCAGAGAGUAGACCGCCUAAGCAGCGAUUCGCUGCCGGUAAGGGUGAAAGGGUGCGGUAAGAGCGCACCGCGCGCCUGGUAACAGUGCGUGGCACGGUAAACCCCACCUGGAGCAAGACCAAAUAGGGAUCCUUUGGCGCGGCCCGCGCUGGAUCCGGGUAGGUUGCUUGAGAAACGUGGCGACGCGUUUCCUAGAUGAAUGACUGUCUUAGACAGAACCCGGCUUAUCGGCCGGCUCCCUCU
Molecule: non-coding RNA, 351 nt
Organism: Salinicola sp. MIT1003
Lineage: Bacteria; Pseudomonadati; Pseudomonadota; Gammaproteobacteria; Oceanospirillales; Halomonadaceae
Rfam family: Bacterial RNase P class A
About the family: Ribonuclease P (RNase P) is a ubiquitous endoribonuclease, found in archaea, bacteria and eukarya as well as chloroplasts and mitochondria. Its best characterised activity is the generation of mature 5'-ends of tRNAs by cleaving the 5'-leader elements of precursor-tRNAs. Cellular RNase Ps are ribonucleoproteins.
Source: Rfam